This 305-nucleotide ribosomal RNA is filed under the name uncultured bacterium. Its description in RNAcentral is "bacterial SSU rRNA". It matches the Rfam family "Bacterial small subunit ribosomal RNA", at positions 337 to 659 of the family's 1533-position model. The record is from RNAcentral.
GCCUACGGGGGGCAGCAGUGGGGAAUAUUGCACAAUGGGGGAAACCCUGAUGCAGCGACGCCGCGUGAGUGAAGAAGUAAUUCGUUACGUAAAGCUCUAUCAGCAGGGAAGAAAAUGACGGUACCUGAAGAAUAAGCUCCGGCUAACUACGUGCCAGCAGCCGCGGUAAUACGUAGGGAGCAAGCGUUAUCCGGAUUUACUGGGUGUAAAGGGCGUGUAGGCGGGCCUGCAAGUCAGAAGUGAAAUCUGGGGGCUUAACCCCCAAACUGCUUUUGAAACUGUGGGUCUUGAGUGUUGGAGAGGCG